UGAGGAAUAUUGGUCAAUGGACGAGAGUCUGAACCAGCCAAGUAGCGUGCAGGAUGACGGCCCUAUGGGUUGUAAACUUCUUUUGUUUGGGAAUAAUCGACAUUACGUGUAAUGUUUUGCAUGUACCAUUCGAAUAAGGACCGGCUAAUUCCGUGCCAGCAGCCGCGGUAAUACGGAAGGUCCUGGCGUUAUCCGGAUCUAUUGGGUUUAAAGGGAGUGUAGGUGAUUGGUUAAGCGUGUUGUGAAAUGUAGAUGCUCAACAUCUGACUUGCAGCGCGAACUGGCUGCCUUGAGUACACACAACGUAGAAGGAAUUCAUGGUGUAGCGGUGAAAUGCUUACAUAUCAUGAAGAGCUCCGAUUGCGAAGACAGCUUACGGGAGUGUUACUGACGCUUAAGCUCGAAGAUGCGGGUAUCGAACAGG
RNAcentral lists this ribosomal RNA (424 nucleotides) under Verrucomicrobiota bacterium. RNAcentral's name for it is "Verrucomicrobia bacterium partial 16S ribosomal RNA". It matches the Rfam family "Bacterial small subunit ribosomal RNA", at positions 355 to 776 of the family's 1533-position model. The record is from RNAcentral. Lineage: Bacteria; Pseudomonadati; Verrucomicrobiota.